RNAcentral lists this transfer RNA (85 nucleotides) under Felis catus (domestic cat). It matches the Rfam family "tRNA". Rfam says of the family: Transfer RNA (tRNA) molecules are approximately 80 nucleotides in length. Their secondary structure includes four short double-helical elements and three loops (D, anti-codon, and T loops). The record is from Rfam by way of RNAcentral. Lineage: Eukaryota; Metazoa; Chordata; Mammalia; Carnivora; Felidae.
ACCUGGGUGGCUCAGUCAGUUAAGCGUCUGACUUUAGCUCAGGUCUUGAUCUCAUGGUUUGUGGGUUCGAGUCCCACGUCAGGCU